This 514-nucleotide long non-coding RNA is filed under the name Lupinus angustifolius (narrow-leaved blue lupine). RNAcentral describes it as "long non-coding RNA (LANG_LNC001292)". The record is from RNAcentral. Lineage: Eukaryota; Viridiplantae; Streptophyta; Magnoliopsida; Fabales; Fabaceae.
AGAGGUUUGAUCAACUAUGGAUAGUUACUUGAGUGUGAGGAUGUCUCUUGUUAAAUUUGCUUUCUUUUUUGUUUUUAUCAUGGCAGCAGGUUCGAAAUUAUAUUUUAUUUUGAAUCUCAACCAUGUAUUUUAUACCUUCUAAUUUUCAUUGCAUUAUAUUCUUUGUGAUAUAUAUUGUUUGCAUGUUUAUAUAUUAUUUGUGUGAAUACAGAUAUAUGCAAACAAUCAGAUGCUGCUGGUGCAAAUUGUCUUCUUAGUAUUCCUUGUACAUCAAACCGACAUUGUCAGAUACUUUGUGGUCCCAACUAUGUGUGUUAUGCUAAACGUUGUACAUCCAAGCUGCUUGAAUUCAAGCUUUCCAAGAUUGAGAACCAACACAUUGUGACGUAAUAAUAAAUAUGCGCACAAUUUAAAAAAAAAAUGAAUAAAGAAGGGUUACAUCUUAUUAUGUAAUAUUAUAGAGAUAACUAGUGUUGCGCACAAUAAAUAAAUGAAAACAGUGAAUAAACAGGGG